AAUAACCUUCAGACAGGCCUCCCUGGAGUUUUUCAGGCAUUGACCAGUUUUUCUUCCUUGUUUAUGGAGGCACUUCAAUUGGUAUGCAACCGUUCCUACGCCAUCAAAUAGCAUACAUAAUUUUUCUACUUGGAUCUUCGCGUUAAGCUGGGAUUUCAUAAGGGCUGGGAAUUUUUUGGCUGUGAGCUCUUAUGAUUAUUGUCAUUAUUUUCUUGGGGGGGUUUUUGACAUGUAAAUAUAUGGAACUUUUUUGCGGUUUGGUCAUCCUUCUAAGUUUAAAGAGAGUGAAAUGUCUCUCUGUACAGGAAUUUGCUUGGAUUGUAGUAUCAGGGUUUCACAAUUUCAGCAUGAUUAAUAAAUUAAUACUUCUUUUUCCUCAUGAUUUUUGCUUUCACUGUUCUAGCUCCUUGCAUUCGUUACUUUGUACUGUGGAAUCAAUUAUAGCUUGACCACUAACCUUCUACGGAAAAAACCUGAAUUAACAAUUUGGAUAAUGAAUUUUUAAAAAUUUUAGAGAAUGAGUAAUUUGGAGAAUUACCUGUAAACAGGAGGAAAAAAAAAUCGGGCAUCUCAAAUUACUUGAAUUAUAUUUUUAAUUUAUUUUUAAAUUUUUGAAAUUAAUGUGCUUGUGAUUUUCCUUAAAUCUAAUUUUGGAGAGUCAAAACUUUUCUAGGAUCUAAUCUUAUUUGUCCAGUUAAUUAAGAAUUUUAGAGGAAUUUUGGCUAAACAAUUAGUGGGUUCAAGAUUCAGGUUAUCCAAAUUAUCCGAAAUAUAAAUAAGAUAAAAUGUAAUUCAAAAAAUUAAAACUUAUUUUAAGUCAGAGAAUUUACAUAAAAAAAUAAAAUUCGGAUAAUUCAAAAAACUAUCUGAAAUAGCUCCUUUUUAUCCAAUACUUACCUCUACCAGCUCAUGAGCACACUUUUUAAUGGAGGACAUGCUUAAAAUCAGUUGAAAAUAGACUUUAUAAUAAUAAUGUAUAAAAAUUGGUUAAAAUAUUUAAAGUAUUAGAAUUCUUAAACCCUAAAAUUACAGCUGCAACUGUAAGUAAAUAAAGAGAAAACUCUAUAUUUUCUGAAAAGUUUAUGAUUCAAUAAUUUACCAAAAAAAAAAUAACACACCCGACCUAACAAAAAAAAAAUAAAGUCAAAUAAAAAGAGUGAUUAAAAUUCAAAAUUAAUAAGAAAAAUAAUUGAAAAAAACAAGAUUUUCUAGAUCUAAUUUGAAGAUCUUCCGGACCUAGCUGGUUACAGCAAACCACCCUCUUAUAAAAUUAAGUCUGGCAAAAUAUGAACACGAUCCAACAAUCAAAUAUAAAGCCAGGCUACAUGUUCUGACUUGUAACACAUUUGAUGUCAUCUAAUCAUUGAAAUGAAAUAAAAAUAUAUACCAAUUUGAAAUUGUUUCUCAGAAGAAUCCCUUUUCCAUUCAAAUCCAGUGAUGCAAGGCAAUUAAAAAAUAAAGUGAAAAAAAAAGGAAGACAAAGUGGUUUAGAUUUGAGAAUCCCAUGCACGUUAUACAGCUUCAUUGCAGAAAUCUAAUUAAAUUAACUUAUAAUUUUAGCUUUUUAAAGCCAAUGAUCUUACAUUUCACCGGCAAGCAAUAAACCUAACGAAUAAUAAUAUAAUUGAACAGCCAGUUUAGUGGUCAGGUCCUCACUCAUUCACUGCAACAUAUAUUAUAUAUAUAGCAUUCUGCACUGACGAUGUUGCUUGUUGAAAAGCAAACCUCGGUCAUCUUCUUCGGUCAUCUUCUCCAACUACAAUUAUUAGAUUAUUUACCUUCUGGGAAAAAAAAUCCAGUUACUUUAUGUAUUUUCUUACCUUGGAUCUGAAGCCCUCUGCACGUCUUCUUUGUAUAACAGCAAGAAUCAGAUCCUACCAAGCACUUGAUGUCUGUUAUGGAAUCAAAUGCUUGCUAACUUGCUUGACUUAAAUAAUCCUGUUGCUGGACUAGAAGAUGAUGGGGUGGGUUAAAA
This 1975-nucleotide long non-coding RNA is filed under the name Populus trichocarpa (black cottonwood). RNAcentral describes it as "long non-coding RNA (PTRI_LNC003237)". Lineage: Eukaryota; Viridiplantae; Streptophyta; Magnoliopsida; Malpighiales; Salicaceae. The record is from RNAcentral.